Molecule: ribosomal RNA, 448 nt
Filed under: uncultured bacterium
Lineage: Bacteria
Description: partial 16S ribosomal RNA
Rfam family: Bacterial small subunit ribosomal RNA
Source: RNAcentral
CCCAGACUCCUACGGGAGGCAGCAGUGGGGGAUAUUGCACAAUGGGGGGAACCCUGAUGCAGCGACGCCGCGUGGGUGAAGGAGCGUUUCGGCGCGUAAAGCCCUCUCGGCAGGGAAGAAGGAGGACGGUACCUGACUAAGAAGCCCCGGCUAACUACGUGCCAGCAGCCGCGGUAAUACGUAGGGGGCAAGCGUUAUCCGGAUUUACUGGGUGGAAAGGGGGCGCAGACGGCAGCGCAAGCCAGGAGUGAAAGCCCGGGGCCCAACCCCGGGACUGCUCUUGGAACUGCGCGGCUGGAGUGCAGGAGGGGCAGGCGGAAUUCCUGGUGUAGCGGUGAAAUGCGUAGAUAUCAGGAGGAACACCGGUGGCGAAGGCGGCCUGCUGGACUGCGACUGACGUUGAGGCCCGAAAGCGUGGGGAGCAAACAGGAUUAGAUACCCGGGUAAA